RNAcentral lists this transfer RNA (63 nucleotides) under Octostigma sinensis. RNAcentral describes it as "tRNA-Ser". It matches the Rfam family "tRNA". Rfam says of the family: Transfer RNA (tRNA) molecules are approximately 80 nucleotides in length. Their secondary structure includes four short double-helical elements and three loops (D, anti-codon, and T loops). Further hydrogen bonds mediate the characteristic L-shaped molecular structure. tRNAs have two regions of fundamental functional importance: the anti-codon, which is responsible for specific mRNA codon recognition, and the 3' end, to which the tRNAs corresponding amino acid is attached (by aminoacyl-tRNA synthetases). tRNAs cope with the degeneracy of the genetic code in two manners: having more than one tRNA (with a specific anti-codon) for a particular amino acid; and 'wobble' base-pairing, i.e. permitting non-standard base-pairing at the 3rd anti-codon position. Lineage: Eukaryota; Metazoa; Arthropoda; Diplura; Rhabdura; Octostigmatidae. The record is from RNAcentral.
GAAAACUUAGCUUAAGCCCAAAGCACAUGUUUUGAAAACAUGAGAUAAAAAUUUUAGUUUUCU